Molecule: ribosomal RNA, 200 nt
Filed under: uncultured bacterium
Lineage: Bacteria
Description: partial 16S ribosomal RNA
Rfam family: Bacterial small subunit ribosomal RNA
Source: RNAcentral
AUUGAACGCUGGCGGCAUGCCUUACACAUGCAAGUCGAACGGCAGCACGGGAGCAAUCCUGGUGGCGAGUGGCGAACGGGUGAGUAAUAUAUCGGAACGUGCCCAGACGUGGGGGAUAACGUAGCGAAAGCUACGCUAAUACCGCAUGUGAUCUGUGGAUGAAAGCGGGGGAUCGCAAGACCUCGCGCGUUUGGAGCGGC